Long non-coding RNA from Nothoprocta perdicaria, 196 nucleotides. RefSeq lists it as uncharacterized. Lineage: Eukaryota; Metazoa; Chordata; Aves; Tinamiformes; Tinamidae. The record is from RefSeq and is a predicted model, not a curated record. The transcript has 2 exons.
UGAUCUGUAAUUGUGGAGAGACACCUUAGGAAGGUUAACUUAUUAUAAGCACACACAGAGCUACGCUCACUUUCCAGGGACUACGAAGUCUGAUCCACUGUUGCCUGCAUAGCAUCUAAAUUAGAAAGUCUGGAGUUACCUUGGAUUUAUCCAAGGCCACAUGAAAGCUGGCCCAAGAACAGGAACCACCAAAAGA